RNAcentral lists this ribosomal RNA (468 nucleotides) under uncultured bacterium. RNAcentral describes it as "partial 16S ribosomal RNA". It matches the Rfam family "Bacterial small subunit ribosomal RNA", at positions 28 to 507 of the family's 1533-position model. The record is from RNAcentral.
GACGAACGCUGGCGGCGUGCUUAACACAUGCAAGUCGAACGGAAAGGCCCUGCUUUUGUGGGGUGCUCGAGUGGCGAACGGGUGAGUAACACGUGAGUAACCUGCCCUUGACUUUGGGAUAACUUCAGGAAACUGGGGCUAAUACCGGAUAGGAGCUCCUGCUCCAUGGUGGGGGUUGGAAAGUUUCGGCGGUUGGGGAUGGACUCGCGGCUUAUCAGCUUGUUGGUGGGGUAGUGGCUUACCAAGGCUUUGACGGGUAGCCGGCCUGAGAGGGUGACCGGCCACCUUGGGACUGAGAUACGGCCCAGUCGGCAACGGGAGGCAGCAGGGGGGAAUAUUGCACAGUGGGCGGAAGCCUGAUGCAGCGACGCCGCGUGCGGGAUGACGGCCUUCGGGGUGUAAACAGCUGUCGGCUGUGACGAAGCGUGAGUGACGGUAAUGGGUAAAGAAGCACCGGCUAACUACGUG